Molecule: ribosomal RNA, 502 nt
Filed under: uncultured bacterium
Lineage: Bacteria
Description: bacterial SSU rRNA
Rfam family: Bacterial small subunit ribosomal RNA
Source: RNAcentral
GAACGCUGGCGGCGUGCUUAACACAUGCAAGUCGCGCGUGAAGGACUUCGGUCCGAGUAAAGCGGCGCACGGGUGAGUAACGCGUGGAUGAUCUACCCAUGAGUUAGGAAUAACGGCUGGAAACGGUCGCUAAUACCAAAUACGCUCCGAUUUCAACUUCGGGGGAAAGGUGGCCUCUGCUUGCAAGCUACUGCUCAUGGAUGAGUCCGCGUCCCAUUAGCUAGUUGGUGGGGUAACGGCCCACCAAGGCGACGAUGGGUAGCCGGUCUGAGAGGAUGACCGGCCACACUGGGACUGGAACACGGCCCAGACUCCUACGGGAGGCAGCAGUGGGGAAUAUUGCGCAAUGGGCGAAAGCCUGACGCAGCGACGCCGCGUGAGGGAUGAAAGGUCCUCGGAUCGUAAACCUCUGUCAGGAGGGAAGAACCGCCACGGUGCUAAUCAGCCGUGGUCUGACGGUACCUCCAAAGGAAGCACCGGCUAACUCCGUGCCAGCAGCUGC